RNAcentral lists this ribosomal RNA (400 nucleotides) under phytoplankton environmental sample. Its description in RNAcentral is "partial small subunit ribosomal RNA". It matches the Rfam family "Eukaryotic small subunit ribosomal RNA", at positions 587 to 984 of the family's 1831-position model. The record is from RNAcentral.
AGCUCCAAUAGCGUAUAUUAAAGUUGUUGCAGUUAAAAAGCUCGUAGUUGGAUUUCGGAUUGUGAUCACGGGUCGGCUCGCAAGAGUGUGUACUUGUGGUUGUGGUCUUUUUCUACGGAGGGUGGUGUCAGCGAUUAGGUUCGGUGGUGCCGUAUGCGCUCCGUUCGUUUACUUUGAACAAAUUAGAGUGUUUAAAGCAGGCCUUUGCCUUGAAUACAUUAGCAUGGAAUAAUGGAAUAGGACUUGCGUUUCUAUUUCGUUGGUUUCUAGGACGUGAGUAAUGAUUAAUAGGGAUAGUUGGGGGCAUUCAUAUUUAAUUGUCAGAGGUGAAAUUCUUAGAUUUAUGAAAGAUGAACUUUUGCGAAAGCAUUUGCCAAGGAUGUUUUCAUUAAUCAAGAAC